Molecule: ribosomal RNA, 253 nt
Filed under: uncultured bacterium
Lineage: Bacteria
Description: partial 16S ribosomal RNA
Rfam family: Bacterial small subunit ribosomal RNA
Source: RNAcentral
UACGAAGGGGGCUAGCGUUGCUCGGAAUUACUGGGCGUAAAGGGUGCGUAGGCGGGUCUUUAAGUCAGAGGUGAAAUCCUGGAGCUCAACUCCAGAACUGCCUUUGAUACUGAGGAUCUUGAGUUCGGGAGAGGUGAGUGGAACUGCGAGUGUAGAAGUGAAAUUCGUAGAUAUUCGCAAGAACACCAGUGGCGAAGACGGCUCACUGGCCCGAUACUGACGCUGAGGCACGAAAGCGUGGGGAGCAAACAGG